Xenopus laevis (African clawed frog) is the source of this 1211-nucleotide long non-coding RNA. RefSeq lists it as uncharacterized. The record is from RefSeq and is a predicted model, not a curated record. The transcript has 3 exons. NCBI's taxonomy places the organism in Eukaryota, Metazoa, Chordata, Amphibia, Anura, Pipidae.
AUUCCCAAGUCUCUUAGUUGUAAUACUACGUAACAGUAAAUCGUUGAAGCUCUUUAUGGAGCACAGUAUAUUCAUUAGCAGGGUAUAGAUAUUAGGUUAUUGUAGUGUGACUACAAAAGGAAUCAAUUUACUGCUCAAGUUACUCAUAUUGCAUGUGCUGUGCACAAUAUCAGUGCAGGGAUAUGUAUUAUAAAUACACAGUACAGCAUGUAUAGGUUGUCUGCAUCACAACUCAGGGUCAUAAAAAAGAUCUGAAGGGAGGGGGUGGCAUGUAUCGCGUGGGACCGGGAGAAGAGAUGACUCCGAGCUAGAUCCUGAAGGCAGUUUUUGGAUGAGGUGCACCAGAGAAAGGAGAAAGGCAGUGAAAAAGAGAAAACAAGGAAGAUAAAAGGAAAAGAACCAAGUUGGAAUUAGUAAAAAUAUAUCACUGUGAGUUCUCUACAUGAAUUGAGUCCAUUGCUGAGAGGAGUACAGUAAGACAAGAGAUGUAGGCGUUAUAAGAAUGAGAUGCUGAUAAAACAAAUUAGAGAGCUUAGAAGCAUUAAUGAUUUGCUGUUUGGAGACAAGGUGUUCAAUGUGCUGCCAAGCAACUCGCAGACCUCCGGAGAAGAACCUGAAAUAAGGGACACAACAACCAUGGACUUGAUUGAUUUUUCCAGCGCCCCUAUCUCGGUCUGGUGGAUUCAGAACAUAACAGUAAUAGUCUCCCGUGUCUUGUAGCUGGAUGUAGCGGAUCAUCACAGUUAAGUAAUUUUUACUAGGAUUCCCUGUAAACCCCACUCGGCUUUGGAAAUGCUCAAGGUUGUGGUAAGAGAGCUUCUUAUUAUACUGAGUGAACUGUAGGGUGCAAAAAGACAUCCAUGACCUGAAAAAAAUGCUAAUUAAGAUCCAUAUUUAUUUAUCAACAACAGAAAGGCAAAAGUGAACAUACUGUAGAUGCAAAGAAGCAAAAUAAACUGGAUCCCUCACCCAAUGUGUCUGUUUUAGGUACUGACUAUUAAUGAAGAAAUUACAUAUACAAGGGCAAAAAGCAAGCAAGUUGUCUAUACUGUCUGUUUUGUUCUACUGAAUUAGGUUUUGCAUGUGUGCCUCGGUUAUGUAGUUGAACAGAACCAUAGUUUUGUACUGUGUUAACAAAAUAGUAAUCAUUCAUUUACACUAAGGGCAGGGACACAGGUGAAGAUUCAGGGAGAUUUUCCUCAUGAGGCUAA